Rhopilema esculentum is the source of this 2674-nucleotide non-coding RNA. The record is from RefSeq and is a predicted model, not a curated record. Lineage: Eukaryota; Metazoa; Cnidaria; Scyphozoa; Rhizostomeae; Rhizostomatidae.
CUUACGUACUUCAGUAGAGCCAACCUAAGCGCGUGGAGAAUCAGACAAACGUUUUUUCUAGUCGUCUUAUGUCUUGCACACCCUUUUCACUUUUGAUAAAGAAAAUGUAGGCAUUCAUAUAAAAAAUAUAAAUAUCAGUGUAUGUCAUAAAGUAAAAAAAACCUCAUUUACCAUAUUCAAAUAAGAGGCCAUAACCCCUGAGUGGGAUAAAUCGCGUCCUCAUCUAAACAUUUGCGAAUACGAUCUCACCUGCGGAAACUAGCCCACUCAAGUUGGCUAGCCCACUCAAGUGGACAGGCCCUUAGAUAGUUUUUAAAUGAAAUAUUGUCAAUGUUUUAGCUGCUGUUAGAUUAGCAAUUAAUAAUUUUACGUCCACAAGCCACUUUUAAUGGUUCUUACUUGCUCCCAUGUGGCUUAUACAUAUAUAAAUUAGGAAUCUAAUUAUAAGUAACAGUUAUACCGGUCGGAAAUAAAUUGCUUGAUGCCUUAUAGCCAGAGUAGCACACGGUAUUGUGUAUAGAACAGAAUGGUCACACCUAUUGUGCAUAACUAUGAUUGUGAAACAUCCCCUUUUAUGCAAUCAAUUUUUCUAAAAUUAGUCCCAAAGGCAAAUACAAUAAUUACAGAAAAUCCAAUUAUUCAUUAUACUCUAUUUUUUACUACCAAUCAAAACAAAGACAAAUUUUCCAACAGACAGUAUUUCCAAUUGGUGAAGAUCAAGCAUGUUGACAAUUGUGAUAACUUUUCAUACUUAGGAUGUGGGCGUACCGAACAAGAUUUCAAUGAAAACUUCUGACAAACUCAAUCUCUAUUGUUCAUAGGCAAAAGGGAUUAGGUAUUUUAGUAUACUAAUGCUGAUUUUCCAGUGCGCCCACCAGAAUUGCAUUAAUCCCUCAAAGGCUCCGUCGUCCUGCCCCAGAGCAAGCCGGAAUAUGGAAAAAGGGAAUGAUUAGCAAUUAACGAAUAUUUCUGGCACCACACAAAACCAAAAGUCAAGUCGUUCUUUGUUCCAAACCACUUUACAUUAAGCAAACAACCAUUUCACUCACGAACUGCAGUGCGCUCGAAUAUCCAAGCGGAAAUCGGAUUAUCUUGUCAAACUUGAGGAAGUAUUCUCGAUUUCCCACUUUGACGAAGAUAAUGAGUUUUAUGUCAGAAAUCAGUGCGUUCAGGGCCUAAGAUCAGGCAUGUUGACAAUUAUGAUAAAGUUUCAUACUUACUGAAUCAAAUAUUGCUUCAACAAACAGAAAUGAAAGAUUUAGCAGGUAAAUUAGAAUCAACUAGCCAUAACAGAUGAAUUAUUGAGAGCAGAAGAAAAAUAACAGUUGAAGCCGGGUCAACAUACUCGAUAUUUUUUUUCAUGGUUAUAGAACUCGUGAUGAAGCCGAAAUUUCGUUCUUUAUAAAUAUUUGUGCAAAAUAACUGCUUCAACGCAUGGAAUAAUUUAAAUCUUGACAAUAAAAGUGUCAGGGGAUAAGAGCUUGCUAUGUAUAUUUCAUUAGGAUUGAUUUGAAUCUUAGUUGUAAAGUGUAAGGCAAUUUAGUGCUUUCGUUGACGUUGAUCUACUGUUAGACAUUUUGCACUGCACAUAUAAAAUCAAGCCUAUCAUCAACGCUUGAUAAAGGGAGCUGUAAUGUCAACAAGAUUGCAUUAGGGUCAAGAUGAGAUUAAGCAUUAAUUCAUAUGUGGCAUGCACGAUUUUCUACAUUGGAGAUUGAUGCUCUAUAAGCACAGGAGCCAACUGACGUAGCGCUUGGGCUGAAUCGAUCAACGCCAGGUUAUGUUGAGAGUCUCCAAGAAAUCAUCAGGCAAUGCUUGACUCAACCGUACAGCUUCGUUGCCAUAAAUGAAGAAAAUGAAAUCGUCGGGGUACGCUUGAGUAAACUGCAUAAACCAAGUCAAAAUGCAAUUGAUGACAGAAAGCUAGAGAAUGCUGUUCGAAGUGGAUUCUCUGCUUUGGAGAUUUCUGAGGUCUACUUGGCAAUAUUAGAAGGGGAAGUCGAGAAGCUAAUCCCAGCAGAUUGUCGUAAGAACAUACUGAAAUUUUUCAUCCUGUGUGUGCACCAGAAAUUUCGACGCCUUGGCAUCGCAGCCAAAUUGGUGGAUUUAUCUUGUGAAAACGCCCGAAAGCUCAAAUUCUGUUGCGUUUUUGCAUUGCUAACUGCAAAGGCAUCCCAAAACCUUUUCAAGAAGGAUGGCUUUGAAGUCUUGCGAGUGAUAAAGCAUAAAGAUUUUGUAGAUGAAAACGGAAAGAGAUUGUUGAACUGUAACGAUGGAACCGACCAAGGACUGCUAGUAUUUAAAAUACUCCAAUCUUAGAUAAAGCUAGGACAGCUGAAAAUAUGCUGAAUUUUUAUGUCCUUAAGCUUUGAUUUCAAAUGAUCAUACCGUUAGGCUGUAAAAUUAUGUAUUGGUUUAUUAAGAUAAUGUCUUUCCCUGCAAUGAUGUAAAAAUGUACAGUUGAUAUCCACGCUUUCGGGCUUAAACUUACGGGAACUGAAAUUUUUUCGAUAUGACGUAUGUUAGAAGCAAAUUACCAUAUGAGCCAUAAAAAUUAGAAAAGUUAUGUAUUAUAUGUAGGUUGUUUACAAAGCAUUGUAAAUGCAGUUUUAAGGCUCUGAACAUGGGGAUUUAAAGCAUUUAUAUUUUCAAAUUGAUGAAAAUGAGCAACUAU